This is a long non-coding RNA of Ipomoea nil (Japanese morning glory), 119 nucleotides long. RefSeq lists it as uncharacterized. NCBI's taxonomy places the organism in Eukaryota, Viridiplantae, Streptophyta, Magnoliopsida, Solanales, Convolvulaceae. The transcript is spliced from 3 exons. The record is from RefSeq and is a predicted model, not a curated record.
UACUAAUACUAAACUUAAUAUUAUGAAAAAUUAGAUUAAAAAUAAAUUCAGUCAAGCAUCGUUAACCGAACCAUACACAUUAAAUGGGACGGAGGUAGAAUAUUUUUUAUGGUUAUCUU